AGUGAACGCUGGCGGUAGGCCUAACACAUGCAAGUCGAACGGCAGCACAGUAAGAGCUUGCUCUUACGGGUGGCGAGUGGCGGACGGGUGAGGAAUACAUCGGAAUCUACUCUUUCGUGGGGGAUAACGUAGGGAAACUUACGCUAAUACCGCAUACGACCUACGGGUGAAAGCAGGGGAUCUUCGGACCUUGCGCGAUUGAAUGAGCCGAUGUCGGAUUAGCUAGUUGGCGGGGUAAAGGCCCACCAAGGCGACGAUCCGUAGCUGGUCUGAGAGGAUGAUCAGCCACACUGGAACUGAGACACGGUCCAGACUCCUACGGGAGGCAGCAGUGGGGAAUAUUGGACAAUGGGCGCAAGCCUGAUCCAGCCAUACCGCGUGGGUGAAGAAGGCCUUCGGGUUGUAAAGCCCUUUUGUUGGGAAAGAAAAGCAGCAGGUUAAUACCCCGCUGUUCUGACGGUACCCAAAUAAUAAGCACCGGCUAACUUCGUG
This 492-nucleotide ribosomal RNA is filed under the name uncultured bacterium. Its description in RNAcentral is "partial 16S ribosomal RNA". It matches the Rfam family "Bacterial small subunit ribosomal RNA", at positions 29 to 507 of the family's 1533-position model. The record is from RNAcentral.